GAGUGUGUAGCUCAAUGGUUAGAGCGCAAAAUUGAUAAUUUUGAGGUUGUAGGUUCAAUUCCUUCCAUACUCA
Molecule: transfer RNA, 73 nt
Rfam family: tRNA
About the family: Transfer RNA (tRNA) molecules are approximately 80 nucleotides in length. Their secondary structure includes four short double-helical elements and three loops (D, anti-codon, and T loops). Further hydrogen bonds mediate the characteristic L-shaped molecular structure. tRNAs have two regions of fundamental functional importance: the anti-codon, which is responsible for specific mRNA codon recognition, and the 3' end, to which the tRNAs corresponding amino acid is attached (by aminoacyl-tRNA synthetases). tRNAs cope with the degeneracy of the genetic code in two manners: having more than one tRNA (with a specific anti-codon) for a particular amino acid; and 'wobble' base-pairing, i.e. permitting non-standard base-pairing at the 3rd anti-codon position.